UGGGGAAUUUUGCGCAAUGGGGGGAACCCUGACGCAGCGACGCCUCGUGAGUGAUGAAGUCUUUCGGGAUGUAAAGCUCUGUCGGCGGGGACGAUUAUGACGGUACCCGCAAAGGAAGCUCCGGCUAACUACGUGCCAGCAGCCGCGGUAAUACGUAGGGAGCGAGCGUUGUCCGGAUUUAUUGGGCGUAAAGCGUGCGUAGGUGGUUGAAUAAGUUAGAUGUUAAAGGCAUGAGCUCAACUCGUGUUCGCGUCUAAAACUGUUCGACUAGAGGACGGGAGAGGAAAGCGGAACUCACAGUGUAGCGGUGAAAUGCGUAGAUAUUGUGAGGAACACCAGUGGCGAAGGCGGCUUUCUGGACCGUUUCUGACGCUGAGGCACGAAAGCAUGGGGAGCAAAC
This 400-nucleotide ribosomal RNA is filed under the name uncultured bacterium. Its description in RNAcentral is "bacterial SSU rRNA". It matches the Rfam family "Bacterial small subunit ribosomal RNA", at positions 355 to 773 of the family's 1533-position model. The record is from RNAcentral.